AAUGAAGCCGGAAAACUGGUCCUUCUAGCCCUUGAUUAUAAUAAUUUGUUGCUUUGGUGGGCCGCGCAAGCACCGGCUUCGGCUGGAUCGUGCCCGCCAGAGGACCACAACUCUGUAUCAAAUGUCGUCUGAGUACUAUAAAAUAGUUAAAACUUUCAACAACGGAUCUCUUGGUUCU
RNAcentral lists this unclassified non-coding RNA (178 nucleotides) under rhizosphere metagenome. RNAcentral's name for it is "partial ribosomal RNA internal transcribed spacer region". The record is from RNAcentral.